RNAcentral lists this non-coding RNA (22 nucleotides) under Arabidopsis thaliana (thale cress). The record is from RNAcentral. Lineage: Eukaryota; Viridiplantae; Streptophyta; Magnoliopsida; Brassicales; Brassicaceae.
ACGCCAUAACCUAAGAGUCCGA